GUAGUUUUAGUUUAUUAAAAAUGGUGAUUUGUCUAGUCAUUGAUGAUCUUACUUGAUCAAAUUACU
Molecule: transfer RNA, 66 nt
Filed under: Cladotaenia vulturi
Lineage: Eukaryota; Metazoa; Platyhelminthes; Cestoda; Cyclophyllidea; Paruterinidae
Description: tRNA-Asp
Source: RNAcentral